This 241-nucleotide ribosomal RNA is filed under the name Trypanosoma copemani. Its description in RNAcentral is "partial small subunit ribosomal RNA". It matches the Rfam family "Eukaryotic small subunit ribosomal RNA", at positions 397 to 629 of the family's 1831-position model. Lineage: Eukaryota; Euglenozoa; Kinetoplastea; Trypanosomatida; Trypanosomatidae. The record is from RNAcentral.
UGAGAAAUAGCUACCACUUCUACGGAGGGCAGCAGGCGCGCAAAUUGCCCAAUGUCAAAAAAAAACGAUGAGGCAGCGAAAAGAAAUAGAGCCGGCAGUGCCAAUGGCAUUGCCGUUUUCAAUGGGGGAUAUCUAAACCCAUCCAAAAUCGAGUAUCAAUUGGAGGACAAGUCUGGUGCCAGCACCCGCGGUAAUUCCAGCUCCAAAAGCGUAUAUUAAUGCUGUUGCUGUUAAAGGGUUC